RNAcentral lists this transfer RNA (73 nucleotides) under Pseudonocardiaceae bacterium. RNAcentral's name for it is "tRNA-Leu". It matches the Rfam family "tRNA". Rfam says of the family: Transfer RNA (tRNA) molecules are approximately 80 nucleotides in length. Their secondary structure includes four short double-helical elements and three loops (D, anti-codon, and T loops). Further hydrogen bonds mediate the characteristic L-shaped molecular structure. tRNAs have two regions of fundamental functional importance: the anti-codon, which is responsible for specific mRNA codon recognition, and the 3' end, to which the tRNAs corresponding amino acid is attached (by aminoacyl-tRNA synthetases). tRNAs cope with the degeneracy of the genetic code in two manners: having more than one tRNA (with a specific anti-codon) for a particular amino acid; and 'wobble' base-pairing, i.e. permitting non-standard base-pairing at the 3rd anti-codon position. The record is from RNAcentral. Lineage: Bacteria; Bacillati; Actinomycetota; Actinomycetes; Pseudonocardiales; Pseudonocardiaceae. RNAcentral also lists the same sequence under 2 other names.
GCCGACGUAGCCCAAUGGCAGAGGCCCGGGUCUUAGGAACCCGCCAGUGUGGGUUCGAAUCCCACCGUCGGCA